Molecule: ribosomal RNA, 312 nt
Filed under: Escherichia coli
Lineage: Bacteria; Pseudomonadati; Pseudomonadota; Gammaproteobacteria; Enterobacterales; Enterobacteriaceae
Description: bacterial SSU rRNA
Rfam family: Bacterial small subunit ribosomal RNA
Source: RNAcentral
UUAAAUUGAAGAGUUUGAUCAUGGCUCAGAUUGAACGCUGGCGGCAGGCCUAACACAUGCAAGUCGAACGGUAACAGGAAGCAGCUUGCUGCUUCGCUGACGAGUGGCGGACGGGUGAGUAAUGUCUGGGAAACUGCCUGAUGGAGGGGGAUAACUACUGGAAACGGUAGCUAAUACCGCAUAAUGUCGCAAGACCAAAGAGGGGGACCUUCGGGCCUCUUGCCAUCGGAUGUGCCCAGAUGGGAUUAGCUUGUUGGUGGGGUAACGGCUCACCAAGGCGACGAUCCCUAGCUGGUCUGAGAGGAUGACCAG